Molecule: ribosomal RNA, 2899 nt
Filed under: Klebsiella pneumoniae
Lineage: Bacteria; Pseudomonadati; Pseudomonadota; Gammaproteobacteria; Enterobacterales; Enterobacteriaceae
Description: 23S ribosomal RNA
Rfam family: Bacterial large subunit ribosomal RNA
Source: RNAcentral
UUAAGCGACUAAGCGUACACGGUGGAUGCCCUGGCAGUCAGAGGCGAUGAAGGACGUGCUAAUCUGCGAAAAGCGUCGGUAAGGUGAUAUGAACCGUUAUAACCGGCGAUGUCCGAAUGGGGAAACCCAGUGCAAUUCGUUGCACUAUCGUUAACUGAAUACAUAGGUUAACGAGGCGAACCGGGGGAACUGAAACAUCUAAGUACCCCGAGGAAAAGAAAUCAACCGAGAUUCCCCCAGUAGCGGCGAGCGAACGGGGAGCAGCCCAGAGUCUGAAUCAGCUUGUGUGUUAGUGGAACGGUCUGGAAAGUCCGACGGUACAGGGUGAUAGUCCCGUACACCAAAAUGCACAGGUUGUGAACUCGAAGAGUAGGGCGGGACACGUGGUAUCCUGUCUGAAUAUGGGGGGACCAUCCUCCAAGGCUAAAUACUCCUGACUGACCGAUAGUGAACCAGUACCGUGAGGGAAAGGCGAAAAGAACCCCGGCGAGGGGAGUGAAAAAGAACCUGAAACCGUGUACGUACAAGCAGUGGGAGCACCUUCGGGUGUGACUGCGUACCUUUUGUAUAAUGGGUCAGCGACUUAUAUUCUGUAGCAAGGUUAACCGUAUAGGGGAGCCGCAGGGAAACCGAGUCUUAACUGGGCGUUAAGUUGCAGGGUAUAGACCCGAAACCCGGUGAUCUAGCCAUGGGCAGGUUGAAGGUUGGGUAACACUAACUGGAGGACCGAACCGACUAAUGUUGAAAAAUUAGCGGAUGACUUGUGGCUGGGGGUGAAAGGCCAAUCAAACCGGGAGAUAGCUGGUUCUCCCCGAAAGCUAUUUAGGUAGCGCCUCGUGAAUUCAUCUUCGGGGGUAGAGCACUGUUUCGGCUAGGGGGUCAUCCCGACUUACCAACCCGAUGCAAACUACGAAUACCGAAGAAUGUUAUCACGGGAGACACACGGCGGGUGCUAACGUCCGUCGUGAAGAGGGAAACAACCCAGACCGCCAGCUAAGGUCCCAAAGUCAUGGUUAAGUGGGAAACGAUGUGGGAAGGCACAGACAGCCAGGAUGUUGGCUUAGAAGCAGCCAUCAUUUAAAGAAAGCGUAAUAGCUCACUGGUCGAGUCGGCCUGCGCGGAAGAUGUAACGGGGCUAAACCAUGCACCGAAGCUGCGGCAGCGACACUAUGUGUUGUUGGGUAGGGGAGCGUUCUGUAAGCCUGCGAAGGUGACCUGUGAGGGUUGCUGGAGGUAUCAGAAGUGCGAAUGCUGACAUAAGUAACGAUAAAGCGGGUGAAAAGCCCGCUCGCCGGAAGACCAAGGGUUCCUGUCCAACGUUAAUCGGGGCAGGGUGAGUCGACCCCUAAGGCGAGGCCGAAAGGCGUAGUCGAUGGGAAACAGGUUAAUAUUCCUGUACUUGGUGUUACUGCGAAGGGGGGACGGAGAAGGCUAUGUUAGCCGGGCGACGGUUGUCCCGGUUUAAGCAUGUAGGCUGGUUAUCCAGGCAAAUCCGGAUAAUCAAGGCUGAGGUGUGAUGACGAGGCACUACGGUGCUGAAGUAACAAAUGCCCUGCUUCCAGGAAAAGCCUCUAAGCAUCAGGUAACAUUAAAUCGUACCCCAAACCGACACAGGUGGUCAGGUAGAGAAUACCAAGGCGCUUGAGAGAACUCGGGUGAAGGAACUAGGCAAAAUGGUGCCGUAACUUCGGGAGAAGGCACGCUGGUGUGUAGGUGAAGUCCCUGCGGAUGGAGCUGAGACCAGUCGAAGAUACCAGCUGGCUGCAACUGUUUAUUAAAAACACAGCACUGUGCAAACACGAAAGUGGACGUAUACGGUGUGACGCCUGCCCGGUGCCGGAAGGUUAAUUGAUGGGGUUAUCCGUAAGGAGAAGCUCUUGAUCGAAGCCCCGGUAAACGGCGGCCGUAACUAUAACGGUCCUAAGGUAGCGAAAUUCCUUGUCGGGUAAGUUCCGACCUGCACGAAUGGCGUAAUGAUGGCCAGGCUGUCUCCACCCGAGACUCAGUGAAAUUGAACUCGCUGUGAAGAUGCAGUGUACCCGCGGCAAGACGGAAAGACCCCGUGAACCUUUACUAUAGCUUGACACUGAACAUUGAGCCUUGAUGUGUAGGAUAGGUGGGAGGCUUUGAAGCGUGGACGCCAGUCUGCGUGGAGCCAACCUUGAAAUACCACCCUUUAAUGUUUGAUGUUCUAACGUUGGCCCCUGACCGGGGUUGCGGACAGUGUCUGGUGGGUAGUUUGACUGGGGCGGUCUCCUCCCAAAGCGUAACGGAGGAGCACGAAGGUUAGCUAAUCCUGGUCGGACAUCAGGAGGUUAGUGCAAUGGCAUAAGCUAGCUUGACUGCGAGCGUGACGGCGCGAGCAGGUGCGAAAGCAGGUCAUAGUGAUCCGGUGGUUCUGAAUGGAAGGGCCAUCGCUCAACGGAUAAAAGGUACUCCGGGGAUAACAGGCUGAUACCGCCCAAGAGUUCAUAUCGACGGCGGUGUUUGGCACCUCGAUGUCGGCUCAUCACAUCCUGGGGCUGAAGUAGGUCCCAAGGGUAUGGCUGUUCGCCAUUUAAAGUGGUACGCGAGCUGGGUUUAGAACGUCGUGAGACAGUUCGGUCCCUAUCUGCCGUGGGCGCUGGAGAAUUGAGGGGGGCUGCUCCUAGUACGAGAGGACCGGAGUGGACGCAUCACUGGUGUUCGGGUUGUCAUGCCAAUGGCACUGCCCGGUAGCUAAAUGCGGAAGAGAUAAGUGCUGAAAGCAUCUAAGCACGAAACUUGCCCCGAGAUGAGUUCUCCCUGAGACUUUAAGUCUCCUGAAGGAACGUUAAAGACGAUGACGUUGAUAGGCCGGGUGUGUAAGCGCAGCGAUGCGUUGAGCUAACCGGUACUAAUGAACCGUGAGGCUUAACCU